RNAcentral lists this transfer RNA (74 nucleotides) under Rhipicephalus microplus (southern cattle tick). RNAcentral's name for it is "tRNA-Ile". It matches the Rfam family "tRNA". From Rfam's summary of the family: Transfer RNA (tRNA) molecules are approximately 80 nucleotides in length. The record is from RNAcentral. Lineage: Eukaryota; Metazoa; Arthropoda; Arachnida; Ixodida; Ixodidae.
UCCCCAGUGGCGCAAUUGGUUAGCGCACGGUACUUAUAAUGUCGGGGUUGUGAGUUCGAGCCUCACCCGGGGAA